GAUGAACGCUGGCGGCGUGCCUAAUACAUGCAAGUCGAGCGAACGGACGAGAAGCUUGCUUCUCUGAUGUUAGCGGCGGACGGGUGAGUAACACGUGGAUAACCUACCUAUAAGACUGGGAUAACUUCGGGAAACCGGAGCUAAUACCGGAUGAUAUUUUGAACCGCAUGGUUCAAAAGUGAAAGACGGUCUUGCUGUCACUUAUAGAUGGAUCCGCGCUGCAUUAGCUAGUUGGUAAGGUAACGGCUUACCAAGGCAACGAUGCAUAGCCGACCUGAGAGGGUGAUCGGCACACUGGAACUGAGACACGGUCCAGACUCCUACGGGAGGCAGCAGUAGGGAAUCUUCCGCAAUGGGCGAAAGCCUGACGGAGCAACGCCGCGUGAGUGAUGAAGGUCUUCGGAUCGUAAAACUCUGUUAUUAGGGAAGAACAUAUGUGUAAGUAACUGUGCACAUCUUGACGGUACCUAAUCAGAAAGCCACGGCUAACUACGU
RNAcentral lists this ribosomal RNA (495 nucleotides) under uncultured bacterium. RNAcentral describes it as "partial 16S ribosomal RNA". It matches the Rfam family "Bacterial small subunit ribosomal RNA", at positions 28 to 506 of the family's 1533-position model. The record is from RNAcentral.